RNAcentral lists this ribosomal RNA (468 nucleotides) under uncultured bacterium. Its description in RNAcentral is "partial 16S ribosomal RNA". It matches the Rfam family "Bacterial small subunit ribosomal RNA", at positions 28 to 507 of the family's 1533-position model. The record is from RNAcentral.
GACGAACGCUGGCGGCGUGCUUAACACAUGCAAGUCGAACGAAACCGCCCUGCUUUGUUGCGCUGCUCUAGUGGCGAACGGGGGAGUAACACGUGAGUAACGUGCCCCUGCCUGUGGGGUAUCUUCAUGAAACUGGGUCUCAUACCGGCUAAGAGCUCCUGCUGCAUGGUGGGGGUUGGAAAGAUUCGGCGGUUGGGGAUGGACUGGCGGCUUAUUAGCUUGAUGGGGGGGUAGUGGCUUACCAAGACUUUGACGGGUAGCCGGCCUGGGAGGGGGACAGGCCCAAUUAGGAUGGAAAUACGGCCCGGACCAGUACGGGAGGCAGCGGUGGGGUAUAGUACACAGGGGGCGGGAGGCUGGUGCAGUAACGCCGCGCGCGGGAUGACAUGCAUCGGUUAGUAAAGCGCUUUCGCCUUAGACGAAGCGUUAGUGACGGUAAUGGGUAAAGAAGCACCGGCUAACUACGUG